GGGGCAGAAUGAAAGAGUUGUACCUUGUCAGCUGGGGGAUUCCAUUUUGCAACCUACUGGCCCAAUGCUCUAACCACUAGGCUACCUGCCACCCCACGUUAUCUUUGUUGCCUAUCUGAUUAAUGCCCUCCUUGCCUAGUCCGUCAGUUUUGGUGGGUGGCCCUCUCUUGGUAGGUUUGUGACAUCUUUUUCGGGCGGCACAUAGCCUAGCGGUUAAAAGAGCGUUGGCCCAGUAACCGGAAUCACCGAGCAGAUUAAAAAUAUUUUGACUCUUUGGCUCAGUGGAGGACAGAGGGCCGGGUGGCAGUAUGGCUUCAUGUGCCUAUCUCUUUCAGCCGUUGUGCCGCAGCUGCCUCUGCUCAUGGCUUCACCUACCACCACGCCAAACAGGACCGCUCAAUUCUGUCUCUGUGGCUGGGGGAUGGGCAGCGCAGGCUGCCUGGGUUUGCUACUCGUCAGAUUGGAGUGGCAGGUAGUAUAGUCCUUGUGUAACCUGACCUAUAUCACAGGUUUAUACUGCUCAGGAUCAGAUCUGCUUCAGGUAUCGUAAAGCCAUUGCACACACGCUUGUGCAGAAAUAUUUAUGGGGCAAAUAUCAGUUAUUUCAAAUGUAGUUUGUGUUUGACAUGCAAACAAAUAUACUUGGGCUGUGUGGGAGUGGAAAACAAUGUUCAGGGAAGGGAACAGCACUUUGGAUGGCAGUUUUUUAUUUUUUUUAUAAACACCAACACAAUCAUCCACCAGGUGGCAUGCUGUUUCCUUUAUACCUCUCCCAAAGUGGAUGCAAGCAUGUCAGAACAUGUCUGUGGAAAGAGGAUGGCAUGUUGCCAACAGUAACUUGCGGGACCCCACCAUCGUGACUUUAAGUGUUUUUAGGACUGAAAUGUGUUGGAGUACACACCAACACAACACACUGGGUAAUUUGUGUUAUUAAAUCGUUUAAUUUACAUCAUAUCAUCAUCCAAUGAGUUUUAGUGUCAAACCGAGCAACCAGCUCCUUUCCCUGAAGAUAUUUUGGGGUCAAAAAUGAAUUGGUGAGUGUACCAAUAACCUUGCCACUUAGCGUUAGGUCCAAAAUUAUUGCCACUGUUGAUAAAUAUGACAAAUAAUGAGCUAUAUUGUAUGUGAAAAAAAAUGUGACGAAUAUAUUAUGUUAUACAAAUACAUUUGCUCAGAGGAAGAGAUUUUGUUUAAUAAGUAAUAUACUUUUUUUUUUUUUAGAUAGGGGUCAAAAUUAUUUCCACGUCUGUUGUCAAUACCUUUCAAAAUCUCACCUUGCGAGGAUAAUGGCCUUUUUCUAAAACGUUUUAUGAGAAUGGAGAACACACUGGGAGGUUUCUUAGACCACUCCUCCAUACAGAAUCUUUUCAGAACCUUGAUAUCCUUUGUCUGCGCUAAUGGACUGCCCUCUUCAAUUCAAGCCACAGGUUUUCAAUGGGGUAUCAAGUACAGACUUGAUUUUGUGGUCAUUUAACCGUUGUGAAUGACAGGCACAUCGAUCUGCAGGUUAAACAUGGUGAGAUUAAAGACUCCUAAAUUGAUAGUGCAGUUUGUUUAGGCGAUUGUACAGCUAACUAGCUGCUUUACAUGCUAAUAUUGUCUUUGGUAUUAUUGUAACCAGCUACGUUUGCUAGCUAGCCAGCCAAUAAAGAGCUGCAACAAAUUCCCACAUUUUUUUUUCCCACGUUGCUGCCAACCUUAUUAUAAUACCAAAAUGAAACAUUUGUUCACAAAAAAAUAUUAUUCUCAGUGUUAUUUAACACUAUAAAUUAAAAAGAAUGAGUGGUUUUGGGAGAAUCUUUCCUUGAUUCAGGACCCAAGCUGUCAGCCACAGCAGCCAACAGUUUUAAAUGAAGGGAAGUCCCUUCGUUGAUUACUUGGUUUGGUGGGUCAUUCCCGAGUUUACGAACAGACGCAGUCACUGCCUUUUGGAGGAAAAUGUUCUCCCCCCUCCACAGCUAACCUAAUGAUAGCUUCUCAGUCCGGUACCCGGGCAAUCUCCUGUGAUGUGCCCGGUGCCGGCCGGGGAUGACAUCAAUUUCCACAUAGAAGGCCAAGUCGGGGAUUAGAUGACCCAUCCCUCGUCACACAUCUGGGGGAUUCAUUCAAGGUCUAGAGUGUGUCCUGGUGAGACACCGGCCCGGAAAAACAAGGGCCCAUUUCCUUCUCCCUGGAGCUGUCAACAGAGGCACAUAGCUGGCCCUCUUAGUCACAACCCACUGGGUACAAACUUUUGUUCAAAAUCUAGUUUUGAUUUACAUUUGGUUGAGUUGUCAACUAAACGUGAAUUUAACGUGAAAUCAACAAAAAGGUUCAAAGUUGGGUGAAAAAAUAUGAAAUUCCCUUACAUUGAUUACUUUUUUCAAAUCUAAUCAGUUUUCCACCUUGAUUCAAUGUCAUCACAUUGCAUUUUUGGGUUGAAAUCAUGUGGAAACAAUGUUGAUUUACCCAGUUUUUGCCCAAUGGGAACCUGUUGAAAAAGGGGUUUAGUUAUCCCACUAGGCCAAAAGGGAUGGCAAACGUUUCACAGCUGUUACCGAGUCACCCUCUCUGUUUCACUACAGACUAUGUCAACAGACUGUACAAUGUAGGAAGGACCUUGACAUUUGUCACUACCUUUACUCACUUAGGAUGAGUUUUUGAUAAUAAAUUACAGUAUUACCUUGUUUUCUAGUCUGGCCUGGCCAUGGUGGUAUAUAUGGUCCAGCAUUUGUUGACGCAACUAAGUAUACCUCACUGUAAGAGAAUAGCGUCUGAAUAUCGGUCAAGUCCCUGAUGUUUUUCGAGUUGUUGUGAUGGCCCCUCUCUCUGGCAGGCUGAAUAAAGCCCGGCCCCAGGGCACUUAGUGCUCACUCCACGUGGGUCAGUUAAAUGAAACGUUUUCAUGUUCUCUCAAACCCAAAAAUAAUUACCUGGUCUUAAGUCAGUUGUCUGGAAGCUGUCGUCAAGGUUCUUUGGAGUAUGGACCAGCACGUAGACACUUUUUCUAUCCAUCAAGGUGCAGUCAUUGAUUAGUCAAAUGUUAAGGUUGCCAUUGUUCAAGAUAAAAACAAGGUACUGGACUGUUUCUCUGCCUGUCGUGUUUUAUGUAUUACAUAAGGCUCAACUUGAAACUUGUUUUCUUUUAUGAGAUAUGUCGACUUCUAUUAGGGACCAAUCCUUAAGAGUCUAUUGGACACACUGUCACAUCUGCUCCUGCUACGCCCUCUGGUGUUCAUCCUGUGUCUUCUUUACCUGCAGUACACUCUCUCUCCCUCUCUGUGUGAUUGUGUGGUUGGAGACAGGUGUGCUGGAGUCAGAGCAAAUCCCCUCCAGCUGCAACUCGUUCCAUAAUCAAGACCUCUACAAAUACUCAGUCCUGCCACUUCCACUCUGCCAGAUUGUAAUCUCUGCUCAUUACUACUCUGUCUCUUGCCCUGGUCUCCUGUUCCACACCUCACCACCCAACUACCUGGAUCUCGAUUUUACUCACCAUCACUACCUUGGCUUCCCCUCAGGAUCUGUUUACCAAGUUCUACUCAGCCAACUCCAACCUCUCUCCACAUCUGGUUUUUCUGCAACUCAUCUGAGCUUCCCCGGAUCUGCACUCCAUAUCUCUCUGUGUAACAAUAAAUAUUUUGGUUCAUUCAUCCCUGUUUCCUCAUCUGAGUCUGCUCUUGUGUUCCACGGUGUCACUCUGCUUCACACACACCGUGUGUGUCACUAAUGAACAAAAUCAGAAAAAAUCCCCCUUAAUCAGUUUGAAGUAGAGAUACCUUUCAGCAUGGGCUACGUCUCAAUCCACUGCCUCCGCCUGUGUUGGCCUCCCACAUCUGUGGUGGAAGGUGGCUGAGCUACAGUGCCUUGCAAAAGUAUUCAUCCCCAUUGGUGUUUUUCCUAUUUUGUUGCGUUACA
Oncorhynchus mykiss (rainbow trout) is the source of this 3894-nucleotide non-coding RNA. The record is from RefSeq and is a predicted model, not a curated record. NCBI's taxonomy places the organism in Eukaryota, Metazoa, Chordata, Actinopteri, Salmoniformes, Salmonidae.